UAACGCGUUAAAUCGACCGCCUGGGGGGUACGGCCGCAAGGUUAAAACUCAAAUGAAUUGACGGGGGCCCGCACAAGCGGUGGAGCAUGUGGUUUAAUUCGAUGCAACGCGAAGAACCUUACCUACUCUUGACAUCCAGAGAACUUUCCAGAGAUGGAUUGGUGCCUUCGGGAACUCUGAGACAGGUGCUGCAUGGCUGUCGUCAGCUCGUGUUGUGAAAUGUUGGGUUAAGUCCCGCAACGAGCGCAACCCUUAUCCUUUGUUGCCAGCGGUUCGGCCGGGAACUCAAAGGAGACUGCCAGUGAUAAACUGGAGGAAGGUGGGGAUGACGUCAAGUCAUCAUGGCCCUUACGAGUAGGGCUACACACGUGCUACAAUGGCAUAUACAAAGAGAAGCGACCUCGCGAGAGCAAGCGGACCUCAUAAAGUAUGUCGUAGUCCGGAUUGGAGUCUGCAACUCGACUCCAUGAAGUCGGAAUCGCUAGUAAUCGUAGAUCAGAAUGCUACGGUGAAUACGUUCCCGGGCCUUGUACACACCGCCCGUCACACCAUGGGAGUGGGUUGCAAAAGAAGUAGGUAGCUUAACCUUCGGGAGGGCGCUUACCACUUUGUGAUUCAUGACUGGGGUGAAGUCGUAACAAGGUAACCGUAGGGGAACCUGCGGUUGGAUCACCUCCUUACCUAAAGA
RNAcentral lists this ribosomal RNA (688 nucleotides) under Serratia sp. HMSC15F11. RNAcentral describes it as "bacterial SSU rRNA". It matches the Rfam family "Bacterial small subunit ribosomal RNA", at positions 853 to 1533 of the family's 1533-position model. Lineage: Bacteria; Pseudomonadati; Pseudomonadota; Gammaproteobacteria; Enterobacterales; Yersiniaceae. The record is from RNAcentral.